This is a long non-coding RNA of Cyprinus carpio (common carp), 1722 nucleotides long. RefSeq lists it as uncharacterized. The transcript is spliced from 4 exons. Lineage: Eukaryota; Metazoa; Chordata; Actinopteri; Cypriniformes; Cyprinidae. The record is from RefSeq and is a predicted model, not a curated record.
GGCGAGUUUCAAGCUAGUUGCUUGAAAUUCAAGUUCUGAGUUGAAAUAAUGUAACGUUAUGGCAGGGCUAAUCGAACAGGCGAAAUUAUUUGAAACAAAAGUCAGGAUAGGUAAUUUUAAUACAACAUAUAAAUUACAGAGUAAAGACUAUUUUUCUAAUUUGACAUGAAUGGGACGCAAUGACACUACCUCGCGAUUCAGUCUACAAUGCUGUACUACCAGAAUACUGAAGCCCUUAAAUGGUUCAAAAAGAAAGAGGAAGAGGAAGAGAGAUAGACAACUUAAAGUCUUACACCCACAGCACAUUGUGACAAUUCUGAGAGGAAGUCGCAGGAGCCUGUAUCAGAAAGGAAAUAUAAAGUACAGACCUUUCCUAUGUGUAUUCCAUGUAUGGCAAUGGGUCAGUCCUGCUUAAUCCUUCUAAGAGCAGUUCAAAGAUCAGUGCUUUGCAUCUAGUUGAGAUAUGUGGUAGAAGCCAACAUUAUGUUGCCUAAUUAGGCUACUACUGUAACAACAAGGGGCAAACUGCAAAGAGUUGAAUUUCAACAAGCACAAUAGUUCCACUCAUAGAUCAUGCAAGAUUUUAUGCACGGAUAUGUAAUACUUUCAUGACAGAAUGAGUUUGGUUUCAAAUGUUCAAGCUGCCUUGACAUUUUGGAAUACCUGCUUUAUCAAGGGCACAAAUCCCCAACAGACAACAUCAGAAAGGAGCAGUCUAAAUGUUGCCAUGUUUUUGACUUUGAUCCAUUGAGGUACUUGGACAAAGAAGGAGAUACAAAAUAUGUUGUUUGAGCUGAUGUUUACAAAAACAUUGGCCAACAAAAGAGUCUUAACCUGAGAAAUAUGCCAAAGUGAGAAAUAUGCCACAUUGUACAUCAGCAAUUCUGAUGAUAUCUUCUGCUACUUAUUUUUGAAUUAAUUGGGUAGAAAACAACUAAUUCUAGCUUGCAGCAUUAGGAUGAUAUUUUCACUUAAUGGUUUCAUUAGUUGGGUUUGACAGAUGAACCUCAUUAAAUCCAGAGAUCUGCACAUUGUGCAUGGUUUACGCUACUUCAUAGCACACAGUGAUUAUGGGUGUAUCUCUAUCAUGCUGAUUUUGAUCUGACAGAACAGUCUGGAAGCCUGGAAACAGGUCAACAAUGUGUAACCCUGGGCCACAUCAGAGUCCAGUUCAUUAAGACAGUAAAUGAAGCUUGUUUAAUUAGCUCCUUAUAUGUAUAUGAACGCAACCUAAACAUAGUUGUUUUUAGUCUAUGUUAAAAAAAAGGUAAAUAAGUGUUGAUUAUCAGUGUAUGGUAACAUUUAAUUCUUGUCACAGAGGUGCUUUGUCUUGACCAAUCAAGAGUGUUUGUGCCACACAAUUAUAGCAGUUGUUUAUAUUGGCAAAUUUUACAUUUCAUAUUGAGUCUAUUUGUAACUAGAAUUUUAAAUCUGAAAUCAAGUACAUCUACAUUUGUCUGUAUAAAAAAUAACUGAUGUGAAUAAUAAAUGAUCCCUAAUGCAAUCAAUAAUUAUACCUCUUGAUUACCCAUGUGUGCAUGUGCAGAAAAGAAAGGGAGAGAAUAUGAGUGGAGAUAUUUAAUUUCCAUGAAACAGUCAGCAGAGCAUAAAGGACCCAAUCAAUAUCCUGUCCUUUACAAGAGGAAGAGGAAAGCUGCUGUUUGCCCUCAAAAUAACCUGAGCAAGUUCCUGUUUCCUUCAUAAUUUCCUUAUUUCAGCUGA